UCCCAGUUAGUACAACGGUGAGUAUACGGCACUUUCACUAUUCUGUCUCCAACAAGAUGUCAGGGCGUGAGCUGCUGAGAUCGGGGUUCGAUUCCCCGGCUGGGAA
RNAcentral lists this transfer RNA (106 nucleotides) under Ustilago sp. UG-2017a. RNAcentral's name for it is "transfer RNA-Glu(TTC)". It matches the Rfam family "tRNA". Rfam says of the family: Transfer RNA (tRNA) molecules are approximately 80 nucleotides in length. Their secondary structure includes four short double-helical elements and three loops (D, anti-codon, and T loops). Further hydrogen bonds mediate the characteristic L-shaped molecular structure. tRNAs have two regions of fundamental functional importance: the anti-codon, which is responsible for specific mRNA codon recognition, and the 3' end, to which the tRNAs corresponding amino acid is attached (by aminoacyl-tRNA synthetases). tRNAs cope with the degeneracy of the genetic code in two manners: having more than one tRNA (with a specific anti-codon) for a particular amino acid; and 'wobble' base-pairing, i.e. permitting non-standard base-pairing at the 3rd anti-codon position. Lineage: Eukaryota; Fungi; Basidiomycota; Ustilaginomycetes; Ustilaginales; Ustilaginaceae. The record is from RNAcentral.